GUUCAGUGGUAGAAUUCUCGCCUGCCACGCGGGAGGCCCGGGUUCGAUUCCCGGCCAAUGCAAUCUAGAGCUUUUAUCUAGAUUAGAAUCAAGUUUUAUGGUAAGCAAGCUGAAGAUUACUUCAGUUGUCAUGCGUAUUGAUCACUUUGACAUAUAUGACAAUAGACAUAUGGAAAUGCACAGAGUAGAUCAAAUUCUUUUUUUUUUUUUUAAGUAAGCAUAGAAUGCACAGGAAUCUUUCAGCUGAGAUUUGAUUCUUGGCCGAAGGAAUGUAAAUCCUUUUUUUCACCAAUAUAGUUUUAAUUAGAAGCGGUCUGAUUCUCUGAUUUAAUUGUGUAAUAAUCAAUCUAAUUUGACAGUGAAUCUCCGUCUGUGGUUCAAUAUGUUAUGGAAACACUUGCCCAUGCUUGUAUCGCUACUCCUCUGGAUUACUGUAAUUGUAAAUAAGAGAAAUACUAACAGAGAAGUUUGUAUUGUGGAUGAAGGCUGAAACAGCACCGUUCGUCGAGGUCACAUGACCAUUUUUUUCAGACAGUUCUGCAUUGGUGGUUCAGUGGUAGAAUUCUCGCCUGCCACGCGGGAGGCCCGGGUUCGAUUCCCGGCCAAUGCAAUCUAGAUCUUUUAUCUAGAUUAUUAUCGAGUUUUAUGGUAAGCAAGCUGAAGAUUAGUGCAGUUGUCGUGUACUGAUCACUUUGACAUAUGACAAUAGACAUAUGGAAAUGCACAGAGUAGAUCAAAUUCUUUUUUUUUUUUUUUUAAGUAAGCAUAGAAUGCACAGGAAUCUUUCAGCUGAGAUUUGAUCCCUGGCCGAAGGAAUGUAAAUCCUUUUUUUCACCAAUAUAGUUUUAAUUAGAAGCGGUCUGAUUCUCUGAUUUAAUUGUGUAAUAAUCAGUCUAAUUUGACAGUGAAUCCCUAGCUCCGUCUGUGGUUCAAUAUGUUAUGGAAACACUUGCCCAUGCUUGUAUCGCUACUCCUCUGGAUUACUGUAAUUGUAAAUAAGAGAAAUACCAACAGAGAAGUUUGUAUUGUGGAUGAAGGCUGGAACAGCACCGUUCGUCGAUGUCACAUGACCAUUUUUUUCAGACAGUUCUGCAUUGGUGGUUCAGUGGUAGAAUUCUCGCCUGCCACGCGGGAGGCCCGGGUUCGAUUCCCGGCCAAUGCAAUCUAGAUCUUUUAUCUAGAUUAUUAUCUAGUUUUAUGGUAAGCAAGCUGAAGAUUAGUGCAGUUGUCGUGUACUGAUCACUUUGACAUAUAUGACAAUAGACAUAUGGAAAUGCACAGAGUAGAUCAAAUUCUUUUUUUUUUUUUUUUUUAAGUAAGCAUAGAAUGCACAGGAAUCUUUCAGCUGAGAUUUGAUUCUUGGCCGAAGGAAUGUAAAUCCUUUUUUUCACCAAUAUAGUUUUAAUUAGAAGCGGUCUGAUUCUCUGAUUUAAUUGUGUAAUAAUCAAUCUAAUUUGACAGUGAAUCUCCGUCUGUGGUUCAAUAUGUUAUGGAAACACUUGCCCAUGCUUGUAUCGCUACUCCUCUGGAUUACUGUUGGAGCCAGAAUGGGUUUUGUUUAUUGUUAUUAUUUAUAGUUAUGAAAUAUUAGGAUAAGUGUUUUGCAUUUAUCAUAAUUUAAUUAAAUAAUAUUUUGUUGGUAUUUGGAUUUGCUUUGUGUACUGUUGAACAACCUGGAGGUGCGAAAUUGCGUUGGCCACGGCCCACUUCGUCAGGUGACUGCAGCACCUGACCUCGUGAAGGCAAUUAAAGCAGUCUGGACGCGUCACUCCAGAUACAAGUUGGCAGGCAUGCAAGCCAAAAGGUUUUUU
Clupea harengus (Atlantic herring) is the source of this 1811-nucleotide long non-coding RNA. NCBI's taxonomy places the organism in Eukaryota, Metazoa, Chordata, Actinopteri, Clupeiformes, Clupeidae. The record is from Ensembl.